CACUCGGUAGCACAUGGUGUGCACCUGCUUAACUUUGCGAUUUCUUAUGUUUGAGAGUUUAUGCGGGAGGUUCUCGGUUCGAUUCCGGGUCGGGUGG
Mycena metata is the source of this 97-nucleotide non-coding RNA. The record is from the annotation of a GenBank genome assembly. NCBI's taxonomy places the organism in Eukaryota, Fungi, Basidiomycota, Agaricomycetes, Agaricales, Mycenaceae.